GCCGUACCAUGCUAAAUAUACCGAUAUACCGGUUCUCGUUAGAUCACCGAAGUCAAGCAUCAUUGGGCGCGGUCAGUACUUGGGUGGGUGACCACCUGGGAACACCGCGUGCCGUU
Molecule: non-coding RNA, 116 nt
Organism: Caerostris darwini
Lineage: Eukaryota; Metazoa; Arthropoda; Arachnida; Araneae; Araneidae
Source: the annotation of a GenBank genome assembly